CAGCACAGCUCAGCACAGCACAGCAGCGGAACAGAGAGGUCAAGGAAAGGACACAGGUGACUGAACCUAUGACGGUCUCGGAGUAGUGAUGAUGCAUCAUCGCCGGUCACCGUCGGAUGAUCCGGGCCAGACUUGCCCGAGAAGAGACGUAUUGAUUUCUCAAUGAUUAAUAAGUGGAAAAUAAUUGUGUUUCAUUAA
This is a long non-coding RNA of Trichomycterus rosablanca, 198 nucleotides long. RefSeq lists it as uncharacterized. Lineage: Eukaryota; Metazoa; Chordata; Actinopteri; Siluriformes; Trichomycteridae. The transcript has 2 exons. The record is from RefSeq and is a predicted model, not a curated record.